GCCUCCGUAGUUUAGUUGGUUAUAACACCCCACUAGUAUUUCUCUCACUAAUGGGGAGGUCUGUCGUUCGAAUCGGCACGGAGGCA
RNAcentral lists this transfer RNA (86 nucleotides) under Cryptococcus wingfieldii CBS 7118. RNAcentral's name for it is "Tsuchiyaea wingfieldii CBS 7118 tRNA-Thr". The record is from RNAcentral. Lineage: Eukaryota; Fungi; Basidiomycota; Tremellomycetes; Tremellales; Cryptococcaceae.